AUGCCCCCCGUGGUGAUUUCAGCAGCAAACGUGAUUGAGUCCUGUGUUUUGCAAAAUGAGGCUGGAUGGCCAUCUGUCGGGGGUGCUUUGAAUGCGAUUUCCUGCUUCUUGGCAGGGGGUUGGACUGGAUGGCCAUCUGUCGGGGGUGCUUUGAAUGCGAUUUCCUGCUUCUUGGCAGGGGGUUGGACUGGAUGGCCCAUGAGGUCUCUUCCAACUCUACUAUUCUAUGAUUCUAUGAUUCUAUGUGUACAAUGUGAUCCGCCCUGAGUCCCCUUCGGG
Molecule: long non-coding RNA, 279 nt
Filed under: Anolis carolinensis (green anole)
Lineage: Eukaryota; Metazoa; Chordata; Lepidosauria; Squamata; Anolidae
Description: lncRNA (ENSACAG00000034969.1)
Source: RNAcentral